UGGGCCGACCCCAGGGCAGGUGUUUUUGAUAUGACAUCUUCCAGUAUGCUGCUUUUGUUUAAAUACUGAACCAAAAUAAAACUGAAGUAUUAUCAUCUCAUUCUGUAGAUAAGGAAAAAGAGGCUCAAAGAGUUUGUGUACUUUGCUUAGGGGAAACUAGAAAGUAAACGGUGAAGCCAGCCUUCAAUGCCAGGUAUUUCUGAUCCUAGAUCCUGUUCUGUAUCACUGUACCACACUGCCUUCUGUCACCAUUCGGUGUCAGAACACACUCAGUCCAACACAUUGCACCCAGAGAAAUCCCAAGGAGGUACCUACCACCUGGGUGAAUUUACCUGGUCAGGGCCUAGCCCUUAGGUUUUCAGGCUUUAAUGACUUAUUUUGUCAACAUGUGAUAGUGAGUUCAUCUAUUCUGGGCAAAACAUACCUUAACCAAGCUCUUGAGACUGAUAAUGCAACAAAAUAAUGCCCAUUUAUUAACUCACCACAGGGAAUAGUCCUGUUGCUUAGAAUGUUAGCAUGGUCAGUGCAUUCUCUCCCUAUAGGGAUCUCUACCCAGGAAGCCAGUUACAACUAGAAGGUGGCUUGGUGAGUGUGGAUGCAAAAUAAAGGAAGUGGGAGGGGUCCUGGCGAGAAUCGCAGCUGCCCAAUAAAUACUGAAUGAAUGAAUGAAUGAUUGACACUCCACGACAGGAAUAAUCUACUCCAUAUGAACUUAGUAUUUGAAACCUUCAGGUUACAAUUCCCUGUAUCCUUUUCUGUUUAAGAAGGUCUUGCCAAUGGAGUCAUCCUUGAAGUCGCUUUGCUCAAGUUUCCCCUGGAUGAGGAUUGAGCCCUCCCCAUAUCUGCCACUCUGACUCAUCUCGUUCUGUGUUUUACAUUUGGGCACAUUCUUCAGACUGGCCUAUAAUAAAAUUUUCCUGGCUUGAGAGCCAUUAUAUCUGUAAGAUUCUGCCUAUUAUGUGUUGAUUUUAAAGUUUAACUCUAGGAAGACACUGUUUUUGAGUCCUAGGGGACACUUCCAUGUAGGCCCCCAAUUCUGACUACAUCUGUCAGCUAUGAGUAUCUGAUUCUCCAGCCCACAGCAAAUUAAAAAUGGAAACAGACUGCUAACAGCAGAAGUCCUGACAACAGUAAAAGAAAAGCUGGGAGCCUUAUAGUUAGGCUAUCAGAAAACCUCUAUUAGGGAUAAAGGGACUCAACAAACACGUUGUUGGAGCCGUUUAGCACAGGCCCUGUCGGCCCCAUAGGGGCAGAAUCCCACACAUUGAGUAGUCCACUUGAUUAGAAUAAUGAUAGUUCCCUUCUAUUGAGCCUCUGUUCUUUGCCAGUCACUGUGCUAAACUCUCUAUAAAUGUUUUUUAAAUUCUAAAAAUGGUCCUGUGAUUUAGAUAUUAAUCUUUGUUUUAAAAGAUGAGAAAGAUUAGUCUUAAGAGAUACUAAGUAACUUCUCCAAGAUCUCACACGUAGUGAGUGAGUGGCAGAGUCAAGAUCCAAACCUAGAUUUAUUCCAUUCUUAAGUUUGUGUUCUUAUUCUCCACGCUACUUUGCCCUUUUGGUACAAUAUUAAAGGUCUGUAAUAGUAAUACCAUCUGUGUAGGGAAUUCAAGGGCACAGGUAACACGUUUUUAAAGGAUUUCCACCAGAAAGAUUAAAAAUGACAUUUGAAGACAUAAAGAAGUAUACUUACAUUUCUUUGAAAAAUCAUUUAUGUGGAACACAAUAUUCCCUAUUGAUGGUAGAUCGAUGAAGCCUUUUUUUAUUUUUUUUGUGAGGAGAUCAGCCCUGUGCAAACAUCUGCCAAUCCUCCUCUUUUUUUUUUUUUUUUUUUUUUGCUGAGGAAGACUGGCCCUGGGCUAACAUCCAUGCCCAUCUUCCUCCACUUUAUAUGGGACGCCGCCACAGCAUGGCUUGCCAAGCAGUGCAUUGUGCGCGCCCAGGAUCCGAACCAGGGAACCCCGGGCCGCCGCAGCGGAGCGCGCACUUAACCCCUUGCACCACCGGGCCGGCCCCGAUGAAGGCUUUUUUUUAAUUGGAAAAUGUUUUCGUAAAGAAUUCAGUAAUUAGGAACACAGAGGAUUCUUUUCUUUGCAACAACCCAGUUAGAUUUUAUCAAAAUCCUUUGCAUCAUGGGAAAAAAAUCUUCAGUGCACAUUUUAUUCCCCUGUAUUUAUGUACACGGUGGAGCACACCAUUGCAACAUGUUCUAUUAGGGAGAUAAUUGGGCUAGCAUGAGACCAUGAGGGUCCCAGCAAAAGGAGGUGGCUGCCAUUCUUGUCAAACAGCCCAAACUGGCUUUGAUGCCAGUGGCCCAUUAAUUUUUUUAAAAAAGAUUAUGUGUAGGGUAAUUUGAGCCUGCAACAAUUUACAGAAGAACAAUGAUGUUACGCUUAUAAAAAUGCUAAUGUUAUCAUUGUAAUGUCGCAACCUAUUUAAUGCCAAAAUGACAACUGGUAAUGUUUGGGAAUAUUUGUAUGAAAACAAUGACAUUUCAUACUUAAAACUCAGCAUCAGCAAAAUAUGAGGAAGAAAAGGCUUGGAUUUAAAUGUAAAUCAGCCUUUUAUAUUUGCUCUGUGGUUGUUUGCUAGUCCAUAAAGCCUUCAAGAUCAGUUGAAUGAAAGUGUCUCGUAAUUAAAACUUAUUUUUCAGUCUCUAGCAGAAGCAGAACCUAUGGGUUACCCAGGGAUUGAUCAGCCCUCGAUGGUGCUGAACUGUCUGGGUAUGUGUGUGCAUGUGUGUUUUAAGGAAUUCUUCAUAGGCGGUAGAUGAACAACCCAAGAACAGCAUGCUCUUGACUUCAUAAGCACACCUUAUCUAGAACCCCAAACAGCCUGACUGCUCCCAAGAAUUACCACGUCUUCAAAGGAGGAAACUGUGUUCACACUGAGAUGAUUCAAGGAAAUGUGUUUAAGACCUUGAAUACGAUGCUCCCAAAAGGUGGUGCAAAAACAUUUUGAGCAAUUUGUACUGUGGCAAUAAGUAAUAACAGCAAAUAUGUAAUUGCUACAUGCCAGGCAUUGUUCUAGGGGUGUCUUAUAUAUUAACACAUUUAAUCCUCACAACAAUCCUUUCAGGAGGAUAUUAUUAUUCUCAUGUUAUAAAUAAGGAAACUGAAGCACAGAAAGGGUAAGAAAUUUCCCCAAGGUCACAACAGCUAGUAAGAGGCAGAACUCAGAUUUGAACCCAAGUAGCCUGGCUUCGGAGUCUGCUUUUAAUUAUUAAACACAGCCAAUCCAAGUGACCCUUUUGAUAGCCCGAUUUGGGUGUAUACAUUUGGAAUUUAUUUUAACCAUCCAGUUUACCUUUUUCAAUAACAUUUUAUUUUUUGAAUUAUAAAAGGAAUUUAUAUCCACUGUAGAAAUUUUGGGAAAAUAAAAGCACCAAGAAGAAAAUGGGAUUUCUGGGUAAUCCCAGAGAUAACCACUGUUAUCAUUUGGUGUGUGUCCUUUUAUCACUUUAUUCCAUAUGAGCAAUUGCAUCUGGUUACAGUUCUAUUGUCGUGAAUAUGACUGAGUUCAUAUGAGGGAGUUUGCUAAGCCUCUGCUACAUCUGUUAGGUCCUGGUUACAACCACAAAGGCAAAUUCAGAUUUCAGAAUUCAGACCUUGGAAGCAGAGAGAGCGAUAUCCUCUUCUCUUUUGUCCCUAUUAGCAGUUUUGAUACAGACUUACUCUGAAGACCAGAGGAACCAGAGGACUGUCACCAUGCCACCAGCUGCAUUUCUAUUAUCAUCACAGUCAAGUGCUUUGACUCAUCUUCCACACUAUGGAAACUCAUAGGAGGAUUUACCUGAGUCAGUUCAUUAUCUCUGGCUCACUAAGUUUCCCUAUUGAGUGUUUUGCUGCUCAGAAAAUGGGAGGAACAGCUAUCAACGCAUCCCACUAAAGAAAGUAGAGAGCCAGAGACAGACACAUUAGCAGAAGAUGAGUUCCAAACAUGGUUGUCACAUUAAGCAUCUUUGGUACAAAAGUAACCCAACUAGCCAAGAGGGAUGUGUCAACUCGAAGGAAGAGAAGGGGGUGGUCUGAAGACUGCUAAAGGCUGGGGGUGAGAUCAGUUUGGGUGUGUCUGUGUGAUGAGGUGGGAGGAAAAGAAGCAACUGGAAGGAGCUUUGGAGGUAAUUAGUGUUGGAUGGUGAACACUUUCUCCUUUUCAACUGGACAGGGAAUGUGUUAAAUGGCACAACAGUUUCCCUAAGUAUUAAAUUGUAGCACAUAGAUAAUUUUCUACCCAGAGCUAGAGGAUAGAAAAUGUGGAUUAUAUGUGAAUAGAUGCUGAGCCCCCUAUUGGAAUCUCUCAUACAUAUCUGUAGUCUCUAGGAUAGAGAGGUGUUGAGUGGAAGAGAGAAAUCUGAGGAUUGGGGCAGUUCCUGAAGAAAUUAAAGAUUAAUGUCAGGUCUCAAGCUCUAGGCUGGCAAGAUUGAAAACUCCCUGGUCAGUAGGGCACCUGAUUCGUGGAUCUCAGAGCUCAGGGUUCAUUCCAGAAGUACCUAUGGAGCACUUCCUCUGUAUCAGGUCCUGUAUUGGCCAUUGGGAGAAUCAUGUAGAAUAAGAUGGAUAUGAUUCUUGCCCUCCAAAGCCACAAAGAAUAAAACCUCAGGGUUGUGAGGCCAUUUUGAGUCUCAUGUAGAUGGUAUAAAUGAUUUUAUAAAAUAGGAAACUGAGGCGAAGGGUGUUAAGUGACUUACCUAAGAGAUCAGCUAAUCAGUGAACUAAUUAGUUUUAACCCUAAACGCCUGAAGUGAAGCCUGUGCCAGUGGAUCUCAUGAUUCAAUUGGAUUCCAAUUCGAUUUUGAGCCUCAGCCAGAGGCUCCAGUUCAGCUUCUAAGAGAAGCCCUCCUUGGGAUAGAAGAGUGUGUCAUUGGCUACUUCCCCAGAUUUUAUUAAUAAUGGGAUACCUUGUUUCCUUUUGGCUGUUGUUUUAUGUGUAGACUUUUUCAAAUGGAAGGAAGGAUGAACAGAAGAAUCCUAGUACCAAAAUACUAUUCAAUAACCUAACACUUUUUUAUAUUUGAGAAAUGAAAGCUGAUUGUAAUAACAUCAACAAAAUGUAUGAAAAGAACGCAAUCUUUUUUGUUUACAAAGCACACAUAGAGAAUAAAUUUUUUAAUAACCUACCUUUAAAAUUUUUUUCAGGGCUUCUCGGAUCCCUUUCUUUAGCACAGAUAAUGGAGUCCAGAUGAUGCGUCCAUCUAACCACGUCAACCUGAAUUGUACAAUUCAUACUGAAAAUGAGCCUCCAAACAUAAGUUAAUAAGUUGCUUUUUCCUCCUUGCUCUGAACCCCAUGGGUGGGAUUCCUUCCCUUUGCCUCAUCUUUCAGACAGUCCUGGAAACGUUGGUGCAAACAGCUGUAUCCUAACACCUGUAUGGCUUGUUGAUUUGAACGUAGCAUCAUUCCCCACAGGAUCACAGAAGAGCCAUGACAGAGUCCUUCCCUGAGUGCUUGUUUGUCAACUUCUGUUACAGGGAUCCAGCAGGAUGGAAAGUGAGAAAUGCAUGCUUGGGUUCAGGCUAGCCCCUUGCCACACGCCAUUCUUCCUUUAAAGGGCAACUCUUCUGUUAAUCUCCCAGGUAGUGCUAUGUGAAGGAAUGACAUAUAUACAUGUGGCCUAAGACAUGAUAUGGAUUAUUACUGAAAUAAAUCACACUGGAGGAUUUAUUAGAGAAUUAAUUUUCUGAUUGUAGAGAUCCAUGGCUAUUGGAAUGCUUUGACAGGAAAUCCAUUUUACCUUCUUAUUUGGUAAAACUUCCCGUAACUUCUAUUUUGGAUGGCAAAACUAAGUUCUCUAAAAUUAAGGGCCAGGGGCUGGCCCCGUGGCGUAGUGGUUAAGUGCGCACGCUCUGCUGCUGGCAGCCUGGGUUUGGAUCCCGGGUGCGCACUGACGCAUGGCAUUGUCAGGCAAUGCCGUGGCGGCGUUCCAUAUAAAGUGGAGGAAGAUGGGCACGGAUGUUAGCUCAGGGCCAGUCUUCCUCAGCAAAAAGAGGAGGAUUGGCAUGGAUGUUAGCUCAGGGCUGAUCUUCCUCACAAAAUAAAUGAAUGAAUGAAUGAAUGAAUGAAUAAAUAAAUAAAUAAAAUUAAGGGCCA
Molecule: long non-coding RNA, 6083 nt
Organism: Diceros bicornis minor
Lineage: Eukaryota; Metazoa; Chordata; Mammalia; Perissodactyla; Rhinocerotidae
Exons: 2
Source: RefSeq, a predicted model, not a curated record